This 765-nucleotide ribosomal RNA is filed under the name uncultured Streptococcus sp. Its description in RNAcentral is "bacterial SSU rRNA". It matches the Rfam family "Bacterial small subunit ribosomal RNA", at positions 28 to 776 of the family's 1533-position model. The record is from RNAcentral. Lineage: Bacteria; Bacillati; Bacillota; Bacilli; Lactobacillales; Streptococcaceae.
GACGAACGCUGGCGGCGUGCCUAAUACAUGCAAGUAGAACGCUGAAGCCUGGUGCUUGCACCGAGCGGAUGAGUUGCGAACGGGUGAGUAACGCGUAGGUAACCUGCCUGGUAGCGGGGGAUAACUAUUGGAAACGAUAGCUAAUACCGCAUAAGAGUAGAUAUUGCAUGACAUUUGCUUAAAAGGUGCAAUUGCAUCACUACCAGAUGGACCUGCGUUGUAUUAGCUAGUUGGUGAGGUAACGGCUCACCAAGGCAACGAUACAUAGCCGACCUGAGAGGGUGAUCGGCCACACUGGGACUGAGACACGGCCCAGACUCCUACGGGAGGCAGCAGUAGGGAAUCUUCGGCAAUGGACGGAAGUCUGACCGAGCAACGCCGCGUGAGUGAAGAAGGUUUUCGGAUCGUAAAGCUCUGUUGUAAGAGAAGAACGAGUGUGAGAGUGGAAAGUUCACACUGUGACGGUAUCUUACCAGAAAGGGACGGCUAACUACGUGCCAGCAGCCGCGGUAGUACGUAGGUCCCGAGCGUUGUCCGGAUUUAUUGGGCGUAAAGCGAGCGCAGGCGGUUAGAUAAGUCUGAAGUUAAAGGCUGUGGCUUAACCAUAGUACGCUUUGGAAACUGUUUAACUUGAGUGCAAGAGGGGAGAGUGGAAUUCCAUGUGUAGCGGUGAAAUGCGUAGAUAUAUGGAGGAACACCGGUGGCGAAAGCGGCUCUCUGGCUUGUAACUGACGCUGAGGCUCGAAAGCGUGGGGAGCAAACAGG